This 803-nucleotide ribosomal RNA is filed under the name uncultured Actinomycetes bacterium. RNAcentral describes it as "bacterial SSU rRNA". It matches the Rfam family "Bacterial small subunit ribosomal RNA", at positions 57 to 836 of the family's 1533-position model. The record is from RNAcentral. Lineage: Bacteria; Bacillati; Actinomycetota; Actinomycetes.
GCAAGUCGAACGCGAAAGUUCCCUUCGGGGAGCGAGUAGAGUGGCGCACGGGUGAGUAACACGUAGGUAAUCUACCUUCGGAUGGGGAAUAACAACCGGAAACGGUUGCUAAUACCGCAUAAUGCAGCGGCACCUAAUGGUGACAGUUGUUAAAGCGGGGGAUCGAAAGACCUCGCGUCUGAAGAGGAGCCUGCGGCGGAUUAGCUAGUUGGUAAGGUAACGGCUUACCAAGGCGAUGAUCCGUAGCCGGCCUGAGAGGGCGGUCGGCCACACUGACACUGACAUACGGGUCAGACUCCUACGGGAGGCAGCAGUCGGGAAUUUUGGGCAAUGGGCGAAAGCCUGACCCAGCAACGCCGCGUGAAGGAUGAAAUCCCUCGGGAUGUAAACUUCGCAAGAACGGGAAGAAUAAGUCUGGGUUAACACCGCAGACGAUGACGGUACCGUUUGUAAGCUCCGGCUAACUCCGUGCCAGCAGCCGCGGUAAUACGGGGGGAGCAAGCGUUGUUCGGAUUUACUGGGCGUAAAGGGCGCGUAGGCGGCCACCGCAAGUCAGUUGUGAAAUCUCUGGGCUUAACCCAGAAAGGUCAACUGAUACUGCGGGGCUAGAGUGCAGAAGGGGCAACUGGAAUUCUCGGUGUAGCGGUGAAAUGCGUAGAUAUCGAGAGGAACACCUGCGGCGAAGGCGGGUUGCUGGGCUGACACUGACGCUGACAGUGCGAAAGCUAGGGGAGCGAACGGGAUUAGAUACCCCGGUAGUCCUAGCCUUAAACGAUGAAUGCUUGGUGUCUGGGGUUACAUAG